This 668-nucleotide ribosomal RNA is filed under the name uncultured Bacilli bacterium. RNAcentral's name for it is "bacterial SSU rRNA". It matches the Rfam family "Bacterial small subunit ribosomal RNA", at positions 79 to 733 of the family's 1533-position model. The record is from RNAcentral. Lineage: Bacteria; Bacillati; Bacillota; Bacilli.
CUUGCUCUUCUUGGAAGAGUUGCGAACGGGUGAGUAACGCGUAUGUAACCUGCCUUGUAGCGGGGGAUAACUAUUGGAAACGAUAGCUAAUACCGCAUAACAAUGGAUGACACAUGUCAUUUAUUUGAAAGGGGCAACUGCUCCACUACAAGAUGGACCUGCGUUGUAUUAGCUAGUAGGUGAGGUAACGGCUCACCUAGGCGACGAUACAUAGCCGACCUGAGAGGGUGAUCGGCCACACUGGGACUGAGACACGGCCCAGACUCCUACGGGAGGCAGCAGUAGGGAAUCUUCGGCAAUGGGGGCAACCCUGACCGAGCAACGCCGCGUGAGUGAAGAAGGUUUUCGGAUCGUAAAGCUCUGUUGUAAGUCAAGAACGAGUGUGAGAGUGGAAAGUUCACACUGUGACGGUAGCUUACCAGAAAGGGACGGCUAACUACGUGCCAGCAGCCGCGGUAAUACGUAGGUCCCGAGCGUUGUCCGGAUUUAUUGGGCGUAAAGCGAGCGCAGGCGGUUUGAUAAGUCUGAAGUUAAAGGCUGUGGCUCAACCAUAGUUCGCUUUGGAAACUGUCAAACUUGAGUGCAGAAGGGGAGAGUGGAAUUCCAUGUGUAGCGGUGAAAUGCGUAGAUAUAUGGAGGAACACCGGUGGCGGAAGCGGCUCUCUGGU